CAUGCCAAUGGCAUUGCCCGGUAGCUAAAUGCGGAAGAGAUAAGUGCUGAAAGCAUCUAAGCACGAAACUUGCCCCGAGAUGAGUUCUCCCUGAGACUUUAAGUCUCCUGAAGGAACGUUGAAGACGACGACGUUGAUAGGCCGGGUGUGUAAGCGCAGCGAUGCGUUGAGCUAACCGGUACUAAUGAACCGUGAGGCUUAACCUU
Molecule: ribosomal RNA, 206 nt
Filed under: Klebsiella pneumoniae
Lineage: Bacteria; Pseudomonadati; Pseudomonadota; Gammaproteobacteria; Enterobacterales; Enterobacteriaceae
Description: partial 23S ribosomal RNA
Rfam family: Bacterial large subunit ribosomal RNA
Source: RNAcentral